AAGAGUUCUGGGCCGCACGCGCGCUACACUGACGGAGCCAGCGAGUACUUCCUUGGCCGAAAGGCCCGGGUAAUCUUGUGAAACUCCGUCGUGCUGGGGAUAGAGCAUUGCAAUUAUUGCUCUUCAACGAGGAAUCCCUAGUAAGCGCAAGUCAUCAGCUUGCGUUGAUUACGUCCCUGCCCUUUGUACACACCGCCCGUCGCUACUACCGAUUGAAUGGUUCAGUGAGGCUUUCGGACUGGCCCAGAGAGGUGGGCAACUACCACUCAGGGCCGGAAAGUUCUCCAAACUCGGUCAUUUAGAGGAAGUAAAAGUCGUAACAAGGUCUCCGUUGGUGAACCAGCGGAGGGAUCAUUGCUGGAAU
RNAcentral lists this ribosomal RNA (364 nucleotides) under Clavicipitaceae sp. LM146. RNAcentral's name for it is "SSU rRNA". It matches the Rfam family "Eukaryotic small subunit ribosomal RNA", at positions 1474 to 1831 of the family's 1831-position model. The record is from RNAcentral. Lineage: Eukaryota; Fungi; Ascomycota; Sordariomycetes; Hypocreales; Clavicipitaceae.